Molecule: ribosomal RNA, 1107 nt
Filed under: Puntius sophore (pool barb)
Lineage: Eukaryota; Metazoa; Chordata; Actinopteri; Cypriniformes; Cyprinidae
Description: partial large subunit ribosomal RNA
Rfam family: Bacterial large subunit ribosomal RNA (bases 177-1086)
Source: RNAcentral
GCUAGCUUACCAUUUUUCAACUCAACAACAUAAAUAAAAUAAAAUAAGCCAAACACUAAAAAUUAAACCAUUCUUUUACCUUAGUAUGGGAGACAGAAAAGGUUCCACUAAGCGAUAGAAAUAGUACCGCAAGGGAAAGCUGAAAGAGAAAUGAAACAACCCAUACAAGCACUAAAAAGCAAAGAUUAAACCCUGUACCUUUUGCAUCAUGAUUUAGCCAGUACAUCCAAGCAAAGAGAACUUUAGUUUGAAAUCCCGAAACCAGGUGAGCUACCCCGAGACAGCCUAUUAGGGCCAACCCGUCUCUGUGGCAAAAGAGUGGGAAGAGCUCCGGGUAGAAGUGACAGACUUACCGAACCUGGUGAUAGCUGGUUGCCUAAGAAAUGAAUAGAAGUUCAGCCUCAUAAACCUCAAAUCAACCAGUAAUAAGAUUUUUAGAGAAAAAUAUGAGAGUUAGUUAAAGGGGGUACAGCCCCUUUAACAAAGGAUACAACCUUCUCAGGAGGAUAAAGAUCAUAAUAUGUAAAAUAUACUGUUCUAGUGGGCCUAAAAGCAGCCAUCUAAACAGAAAGCGUUAAAGCUCAGACAGAAAAAAAUUUAUUAUACCGAUAAAAAAUUCUUACUCCCCUUAAUAUUAUUAGGCCAAUCCAUGCCCACAUGGAAGAGAUUAUGCUAAAAUGAGUAACAAGAAGGCCCGCCCUUCUCCCAAGCACAAGUGUAAGCCAAACCGGACAAUCCAUUGGCAAAUAACGAACUCAACCAAAGAGAGCAAUGUGGAAUAUAAAAAAACCAAGAAAACCCCACAACCCAACUAUCGUUACCCCCACACUGGAAUGCUACAUUAAAGGAAAGACUAAAAGAAAAGGAAGGAACUCGGCAAACACAAGCCUCGCCUGUUUACCAAAAACAUCGCCUCCUGCAACAUAACCAAGUAUAAGAGGUCCAGCCUGCCCAGUGACCGCAAGUUUAACGGCCGCGGUAUUUUGACCGUGCAAAGGUAGCGCAAUCACUUGUCUUUUAAAUAAAGACCUGUAUGAAUGGCUAAACGAGGGCUUAACUGUCUCCCAUUUCAAGUCAGUGAAAUUGAUCUGCCCGUGCAGAAGCGAC